CGGGAUAAGGCUCCGAAAAGAAAUUAGAAUGCAUUGAACUUCUUAAGUUGUAAACAAAGUCAGUCACAUAAGCACUCCCGCAUGUUCUGGAUACGUGAUCAUGGACGUCUUCACCGAUUCGCGGACGUAGGUUACACGUAACCGGAAAUGGGAGUUGUACUGAGCCGUUAUUUGAGACUUUAUUUUGUAUUUUAUUAAUUUUUGGUUUUACAGGUACUUUAGAUUUUUUAUCGGACCUGUCUGUGGUCUUUGAAUAAUUCUGACCCAUGUUCAGUGAUUUCCAGAGGGGUUUACACGCUAGGAGGAUUUAGGUUAGUAUUUUCGCUGCGGCACAGCUGAGGUCACUUUAAAUUUAUUGCUAGCAAUUUUUUGUUUGUGUGAGCAACUCUCACUUAACGAGCAACUUCUCGUAAAACAACAGGCAACUUCCUGUGUCUUUCUGCUUUUAAUUUACUGCUUUUAACCCUUGUAUGGUAAUCGGGUCUGUGAGACCCGUUUUCAGUUUUCUUUCGUUUUUUUUUUUUUAACAAAAUUAAAUUUAAUUAUUUACUAGCUUUCUGUGAGUGAGCAACUUCUCACUUUUUAACGUACGUUUCAAGAUAACAGGCAACUUCCUGUGUCCACCAACACCACACAAGGGUUAAUUUACUUUAUUCGGGGACUGAGGAAGUCAUCAGUGUAUCUCUCUGGAUCACUAAGUGAAACUUCGUCAGCAUAUCCCGUUUUUUUAUGGAUCGAUCACUGAGAGAGGUAUAAUAGGUCUUUAUAUAAAUAUGAAAG
Molecule: long non-coding RNA, 780 nt
Organism: Astatotilapia calliptera (eastern happy)
Lineage: Eukaryota; Metazoa; Chordata; Actinopteri; Cichliformes; Cichlidae
Source: Ensembl